This 1739-nucleotide ribosomal RNA is filed under the name Cypridopsis sp. QY-2003. Its description in RNAcentral is "SSU rRNA". It matches the Rfam family "Eukaryotic small subunit ribosomal RNA". Lineage: Eukaryota; Metazoa; Arthropoda; Ostracoda; Podocopida; Cyprididae. The record is from RNAcentral.
GAUUAAGCCAUGCAGGUCUAAGUAUAAGCCGUUAAAAGUGAAACCGCGAAUGGCUCAUUACAUCAGUUAUGGUUCCUUAGAUCUUCGGUAUCCUACUUGGAUAACCCUGGAAAUUCUAGAGCUAAUACAUGCGAAUGUAGCCCCAACCUUCGGGAAGGGGCGUUUUUGUUAGACCAAAACCAAUCAGGGAGAAAUCUCUGCACUUUGGUGAGUCUGAACAACUUUGAGCGGAUCGCACAGUCUCGUACUGGCGACAACUCUUUCAAAUGUCUGCCUUAUCAACUUGAUGGUAGGCUAUGUGCCUACCAUGGUUGUAACGGGUGACGGAGAAUUAGGGUUCGAUACCGGAGAGGGAGCCUGAGAAACGGCUACCACAUCCAAGGAAGGCAGCAGGCACGCAAAUUACCCACUCCCGGCACGGGGAGGUAGUGACGAAAAAUAACAAUACGGGACUCAUCCGAGGCCCCGUAAUUGGAAUGAGUACACUUCAAAUCCUUUAACAAGGAUCAAUUGGAGGGCAAGUCUGGUGCCAGCAGCCGCGGUAAUUCCAGCUCCAGGUGGUUCACCUCACGGUGCUACUACCUGGUCCGGACCUUUGACUGGUACCCCCUAGGUGCCCUUCGCUGGGUGCCUGGGGAGACCAGAGUGUUUACUUUGAAAAAAUUGGAGUGCUCAAAGCAUGCGAAUGCCUGUACUUUCGUGCAUGGAAUAAUGGAAAAGGGUCUCGGUGCCAUUUUGGUGGUUCUUUGGUACUCUAGGUAAUGGUUGAAGGGGACAGACGGGGGCAUUCGUAUUGCGACGUUAGAGGUGAAAUUCUUAGAUCGUCGCAAGACGGACUACUGCGAAAGCAUUUGCCAAGAAUGAUUUCAUUAAUCAAGAACGAAAGUCAAAGGUUCGAAGGCGAUCAGAUACCGCCCUAGUUCUGACCUUAAACGAUGCCAACUGGCGAUCCAUCGGCGGUAUUUCCAUGACCUGAUGGGCAGCUUCCGGGAAACCAAAGUUUUUGGGUUCCGGGGGAAGUAUGGUUGCAAAGCUGGAACUUAAAGGAAUUGACGGAAGGGCACCACCAGGAGUGGAGCCUGUGGCUUAAUUUGACUCAACGCGUGGUUGCAAAGCUGGAACUUAAAGGAAUUGACGAAAGGGCACCACCAGAAGUGGAGCGUGUGGCUUAAUUUGACUCAACGCGGGAAAUUUCACGAGGGCCGGGACACUGGAAGGAUUGACAGAUUGAGAGCUCUUUCUUGAUUCGGUGGGUGGUGGUGCAUGGCCGUUCUUAGUUGGUGGAGUGAUUUGUCUGGUUAAUUCCGAUAACGAACGAGACUCUGGCUUACUAAAUAGGCGGCGGAUCUUUGUAUCCGCUAUGUCUUCUUAGAGGGAUAAGGCAGCUCUAAGCUGCAUGAGAAGGGGCAAUAACAGGUCUGUGAUGCCCUUAGAUGUUCUCGGCCGCACACGCGCUACACUGAAAGAGGCAACGUGUUUGCCUGAUUCGAAAGAAUUGGGUAACCCCCUAAUCUCUUUCGUGCUGGGGAUUGAGGUUUGCAAUUAUCCUUCAUGAACGAGGAAUUCCCAGUAAGUGCGAGUCAUUAUCUCGCGCUGACUACGUCCCUGCCCUUUGUACACACCGCCCGUCGCUACUACCGAUUGAAUGAUUUAGUGAGGACUUCGGACUGAGUCCAAUGCGGCUUUCGGGCUGCGUUGGUAUUUCGGAAAGAUGUCCAAACUGUAUCAUUUAGAGGAAG